CCCUUAGAUGUUCUGGGCUGCACACGUGCUACACUGGCAGGUUCAGCGAGCUUCAUGCCCUGAUCUGAAAGGAAUGGGAAAUCUUUUCAAAACCUGCCGUGCUUGGGAUAGAUGUUUGCAAUUAUUCAUCUUCAACGAGGAUUGCCUUGUAAGCGCACGUCAUCAGCGUGCAUUGAAUACGUCCCUGCCCUUUGUACACACCGCCCGUCGCUCCUACCGAUUGAGUGGUCCGGUGAGGCUUUGGGAUCUGAGCAAAAAGAGCGUUUCGCUCGUUUGGCUCGGAAAACUCAGUCGAACCUUAUCAUUUAGAGGAAGGAGAAGUCGUAACA
Molecule: ribosomal RNA, 329 nt
Filed under: uncultured eukaryote
Lineage: Eukaryota
Description: partial 18S ribosomal RNA
Rfam family: Eukaryotic small subunit ribosomal RNA
Source: RNAcentral